Molecule: ribosomal RNA, 430 nt
Filed under: uncultured bacterium
Lineage: Bacteria
Description: bacterial SSU rRNA
Rfam family: Bacterial small subunit ribosomal RNA
Source: RNAcentral
UUCGGAAAUGAGAGAGCGGCGUACGGGUGCGGAACACGUGUGCAACCUGCCUUUAGUCUGGGGGAUAGCCUUUCGAAAGGAAGAUUAAUACUCCAUAACAUAUUGAACGGCAUCGUUUGAUAUUGAAAGCUCCGGCGGAAUAGAGGAUGGGCACGCGCAAGAUUAGCUAGUUGGUGAGGUAACGGCUCACCAAGGCAAUGAUCUUUAGGGGGCCUGAGAGGGUGAUCCCCCACACUGGUACUGAGACACGGUCCAAACUCCUACGGGAGGCAGCAGUGAGGAAUAUUGGUCAAUGGACGAGAGUCUGAACCAGCCAAGUAGCGUGCAGGAUGACGGCCCUAUGGGUUGUAAACUGCUUUUAUAAGGGAAUAAAGUGAGUCUCGUGAGGCUUUUGCAUGUACCUUAUGAAUAAGGACCGGCUAAUUCCGUG